AACGUAGGACGCAAGCGUUAUCCGGAGUUACUGGGCGUAAAGCGCGGGCAGGCGGCCUUGCCAGUCUGAUGUGAAAUCUCUCAGCUCAACUGGGAGCAGCCAUUGGAAACUACAAGACUGGAGUCUGGCAGAGGUAGGCGGAAUUCCGGGUGGAGUGGUGAAAUGCGUAGAGAUCCGGAGGAACACCAGAGGCGAAGGCGGCCUACUGGGCCAGUACUGACGCUGAGCCGCGAAAGCCAGGGGAGCGAACGGG
This 253-nucleotide ribosomal RNA is filed under the name uncultured bacterium. RNAcentral describes it as "partial 16S ribosomal RNA". It matches the Rfam family "Bacterial small subunit ribosomal RNA", at positions 524 to 776 of the family's 1533-position model. The record is from RNAcentral.